RNAcentral lists this ribosomal RNA (425 nucleotides) under uncultured bacterium. RNAcentral describes it as "partial 16S ribosomal RNA". It matches the Rfam family "Bacterial small subunit ribosomal RNA", at positions 354 to 796 of the family's 1533-position model. The record is from RNAcentral.
GUGGGGAAUAUUGGACAAUGGGCGAAAGCCUGAUCCAGCCAUGCCGCGUGAGUGAUGAAGGCCUUAGGGUUGUAAAGCUCUUUCAGUAGGGAAGAUAAUGACGGUACCUACAGAAGAAGCCCCGGCUAACUUCGUGGCAGCAGCCGCGUUAAUACGAAGGGGGCUAGCGUUGUUCGGAUUUAUUGGGCGUAAAGCGCACGUAGGCGGAUUGGUCAGUUAGAGGUGAAAUCCUGGAGCUCAACUCCAGAACUGCCUUGAAUACUGCCAGUCUAGAGUCCAGAAGAGGUGAGUGGAACUCCUAGUGUAGAGGUGGAAUUCGUAGAUAUUAGGAAGAACACCAGUGGCGAAGGCGGCUCACUGGUCUGGUACUGACGCUGAGGUGCGAAAGCGUGGGGAGCAAACAGGAUUAGAUACCCGAGUAGUCC